AAGAGGAGAAUGAAAGUGAUGGAUGGAUGUAGAGCAAAUCAAAAUCCCUUCUUUCUUCCUUUUAUUACUUAAAAACAGCUCCUCUGAUUCGUCGAGAUUAAUAGUUGAUCCUCUCUCUCACACACACGCACACAAUCGAGAUCCAGAACUUUUUAGU
Long non-coding RNA from Populus euphratica (Euphrates poplar), 157 nucleotides. RefSeq lists it as uncharacterized. NCBI's taxonomy places the organism in Eukaryota, Viridiplantae, Streptophyta, Magnoliopsida, Malpighiales, Salicaceae. The record is from RefSeq and is a predicted model, not a curated record. The transcript is spliced from 3 exons.